Molecule: long non-coding RNA, 135 nt
Filed under: Macaca mulatta (Rhesus monkey)
Lineage: Eukaryota; Metazoa; Chordata; Mammalia; Primates; Cercopithecidae
Description: lncRNA (ENSMMUG00000054986.1)
Source: RNAcentral
CUUUGAAAGAGAGAUCUGCCAGCCUGCAUCACAUCAACCACCCCAACCUGGGCUCCUCACACUGACUCAGUCACAAAGGCAGCUUUCAAAGGCCAGAUCUUUCCCAGGGCUUAAGCUGUUCCUUGGAUACUUUUG